This 80-nucleotide small nucleolar RNA is filed under the name Leptobrachium leishanense (Leishan spiny toad). The record is from RNAcentral. Lineage: Eukaryota; Metazoa; Chordata; Amphibia; Anura; Megophryidae.
AGUGCUAGAACACACGUUUGACAAGGCUGCAAAGCGCAAUUCUCCAGAGGAGGAUCAAGCCUUGCAGAGCUGAGCGCACU